CCUACGGGCGGCUGCAGUUUCGAAUCAUUCACAAUGGGCGAAAGCCUGAUGGUGCGACGCCGCGUGAGGGAUGAAGGUCUUCGGAUUGUAAACCUCUGUCACUGGGGAGAAAACGCUUUGAGUUAAUAGUUCAAAGCCUGAUUUAACCCGGAGAGGAAGCAGUGGCUAACUCUGUGCCAGCAGCCGCGGUAAUACAGAGACUGCAUGACUUAUUCGGAUUCACUCGGCGUAGAGUGUGCGCAUGCGGUGGGAAAUCCCGAGGCUUAACCUCGGAACUGCGUCUGAAACUACUCGACUAGAGUACUGGAGAGGGAAACGGAAUUCACGGUGUAGCAGUGAAAUGCGUAGAUAUCGUGAGGAACACCAGAGGCGAAGGCGGUUUCCUGGACAGUUACUGACGCUCAGGCACGAAAGCAUGGGGAGCAAAAGGGAUUAGAUACCCCUGUAGUC
Molecule: ribosomal RNA, 450 nt
Filed under: uncultured bacterium
Lineage: Bacteria
Description: partial 16S ribosomal RNA
Rfam family: Bacterial small subunit ribosomal RNA
Source: RNAcentral